This 468-nucleotide ribosomal RNA is filed under the name uncultured bacterium. Its description in RNAcentral is "partial 16S ribosomal RNA". It matches the Rfam family "Bacterial small subunit ribosomal RNA", at positions 28 to 507 of the family's 1533-position model. The record is from RNAcentral.
GACGAACGCUGGCGGCGUGCUUAACACAUGCAAGUCGAACGGAAAGGCCCUGCUUUUGUGGGGUGCUCGAGUGGCGAACGGGUGAGUAACACGUGAGUAACCUGCCCUUGACUUUGGGAUAACUUCAGGAAACUGGGGCUAAUACCGGAUAGGAGCUCCUGCUGCAUGGUGGGGGUUGGAAAGUUUCGGCGGUUGGGGAUGGACUCGCGGCUUAUCAGCUUGUUGGUGGGGUAGUGGCUUACCAAGGCUUUGACGGGUAGCCGGCCUGGGAGGGUGACCGGCCACAUUGGUACUGAGAUACGGCCCAGACUCCUACGGGAGGCAGCAGUGGGGAAUAUUGCACAAUGGGCGGAAACCUGAUGCAGCAACGCCGCGUGCGGGAUGACGGCCUUCGGGUUGUAAACCGCUUUCGCCUGUGACGAAGCGUGAGUGACGGUAAUGGGUAAAGAAGCACCGGCUAACUACGUG